Molecule: unclassified non-coding RNA, 818 nt
Filed under: Hevea brasiliensis (rubber tree)
Lineage: Eukaryota; Viridiplantae; Streptophyta; Magnoliopsida; Malpighiales; Euphorbiaceae
Source: RNAcentral
GUUUAAAAGUGGUACUUCACUGCCAUGAACAUAGAAUGAUGAGGCAUUAAACCACAAUUUUCAGCAAUCCAAAUUACAGAUUACCACCAUGAGCUUGAGAAACAAGUCAUUCAUUUGAAUAUCUAAAUAAAAGCAUCUAUGCUUAACACUUGGUAAAAAUAGGAGCAAAUACUAUCCAGAAAACUAUUUUCCAUUGAGUAGCAUGAUUAAAUCAAACAAAAUUGGAUAUAGCAAACAGUUCAUGACACAAGAAAACUACAUAUUGCGAUCAGCCAAAGCUACUCCAGCUCACGUCUCAGCCUAUGCCACAAGUGUGCUAGCAGUGGUAGAUUCGUAUUUCCAGACAGGUGGGAGCUUUUUUGUUUUCUUGUAAUAACGAGCAAGGCGAUGAAUCCUGCUCUCCACCAAAAUCAAACGGAACUUAGAAUCCUUAUCCUUCCUGUUCCUCUCCAAAUGCUUCCUAAUGGCAACAGCCUUCUUAAUCAGGUGGUACAAAUCCUCUGGAAUCUCAGGUGCAAGCCCAUGUGCCUUGAGGAUACGCAAGAUCUUGCUACCAGUAACACUCUUCACUUGUGCAAUUCCAUGAGAAUCACGAAGAAUCACACCAAUCUGUGAAGGGGUCAAUCCUUUCUUAGCGAACUUGCAGAUGUUGUCCUCAACAUCUGGAGCAGAGAUCUUGAGCCAACUAGGAGGAGUUCUCUUGUAAGGGAGAGCAGAAGCUGAAAUACCCUUACCACGACUGUGCAUACGACCCAUGAUGGCGGAGGCUACUGGUGGUCUGCAAUGGAGGCUUACCUUUGGUUGUGCGGAAGGGCUUG